UUUUUAUUUUAUUUGUGUUGCUUUUUUUGUUUUUUUGCAUUUAAAACAGAUAUAUAUUUGGCUUAUAAAUUUAUUUUUCAUGUGUUACUAUUAUUAAUUUUUUUUGGAUUUGUUUUUU
This 118-nucleotide ribosomal RNA is filed under the name Dirofilaria repens. Its description in RNAcentral is "partial 12S ribosomal RNA". Lineage: Eukaryota; Metazoa; Nematoda; Chromadorea; Rhabditida; Onchocercidae. The record is from RNAcentral.